UUUUUUAUGAUAGAAUAUUUUUUAAAGUGUGUGAAWUGCCUUCAGGAAUGAUUAACAGGGAAUAUUGUACUAUAAUAUAAUCUUUAGUAUGUUUCAGCUUUACAGAUUGUUUUAUUUWAUUUUAUUUUAUUCAUCGUCAUCYUAAGGGUAGGAAACCCAUCCUGCAGUCAUCAAUGAAGACUAAAAAACAUCAUUGCAAUCGAGCGCGUAGGCAAUGAGGUACUCGUGUGUUGCAUCGUUAAAUUAAAAAAUAAAAGAAUCGGAAAGUAGAAUCAGUGUUGAUCGUCGAAUGUUAAAAAAGUUUCGUUUGCUCGGGUAAAGAAACUCCUUAAGUUUCUUUUAUUCUUUUUAAAUGUGUGCUCAUCGUCAUCUUAAGGAUAGGAUAUCCAUCGUGCAUUCAUCACUGAAGAAUAUACAUCAUCAUGGGAAUAUUGCAGCGUUGGAAGUGUGUGAAUAGUGUUUGUGAAGUGUUACAAG
Polistes canadensis is the source of this 477-nucleotide long non-coding RNA. RefSeq lists it as uncharacterized. The record is from RefSeq and is a predicted model, not a curated record. Lineage: Eukaryota; Metazoa; Arthropoda; Insecta; Hymenoptera; Vespidae. The transcript has 3 exons.